AAAAAAAAAAAAGAAAGAAAAGAAGAUCCUGCCUCAAAAAAUAUAAGUAUGGGGGCUGGAGAGAUUGCUCAGCAGUUUUAAGAACACUGUUGCUCUUCCAGAGGACCUGGGUUCAAUUCCCAGCACCUAUAUUGCAGGUCAGAACUGUAACUCCAGUUCCAUGAAAUCUGACAUCUCACACAAACAUGCAGAUAAAUACCAGUGCACAUAAAAUAAAAAUAAAUAAUAAUAAAGAAAAGAAGGUUGAGGCCAAUUUAAAAACAACAACAGCAACAUAAGAUGGGACAGGGAGCAUGAAAUAAUUUAAAAAGUAGCAGUUUAUAAUUUAUGGGGUUUUUUUUAGCUCAAAAAUCAAUAAGCCCACAAGGCUGAAUCAAAUGCUCAGUGGUUAAGAAUCUGUGUUCCUUCUCCAGAGAACCAGGGUUUAUUUCCCUGGCAUCGCGGUUCACACCAUCUGUAACUACAGCACCAGGGAAUCCUACGGCCCCCUUUGACCUCCAGGGGCACCGAGCAUGCAAAGACGAAAACAGUCACAAAUAAAGUAGAAUGGAUAAAUGUUAACAACACGUAUAAGACCGACGCAUUACUGUAGAAACGUGUAUACGAGCAUUAACAGCAGCACAGCUCGAGUGUUUGCCACCUGACGGACGAAAUGUAUUUAUAUACUGUGGAUGGUUACCCACUGUAAGGGGCGGUGCGUUGAUACGAUGCAGUGAAACCUGAAAACCUCACAGUAAGUAAAGGAAGCUGGGUGGCUGGGUGCAGAGGAAUUUACUGUAAUCCUAGCUCUCUGGAGGCAAAGGCAGGAGGAUCUCAAGUCUGAGGGCAGCCUGGUCCUGGUCUACAUAGGUGAGACUCUGUCAAAAAAAGAUUAAAUUAAAUUAAAUUAAAAAGUCUGAGUUGGGCUGGAGAGAUGGCUCAGUGGUUAAGAGCACUGACUGCUCUUCCCGAGGUCCUGAGUUCAAAUCCCAGCAACCACAUGGUGGCUCACAACCAUCUGCAAUGAUAUCCGAGGUCCUCAUCUGGUGUGUCUGAAGAAGGCAACAGUGUACUCAAAUACAUAGAAUAAAUAAAUCUUUAAAAAAAAAAAAGUCUGAGUUGAGACACUGUGGAGAAGUGACUGACAAGGGCAAGUAAAGAGAAGGGGAACAGGACUGAUUAGGUGAUGAGAAUGUUCUGGAAUUAGCGACGAUAUUUGCACAGUGUAAUACACUAAAAAGCAGUGGAAAACUGGGCAUGGUGGUGUAUACCUACAAUCCCUGAACUCGGUGGGAGGCAGGUGCUAUGAGUUCAUGGUUCUCUGCAGCCACAUAGUGAGUUUAAGGCCAGCCUGGGCUACAUGAGUCCCUGUUCCAAAAAACAACAAAAAACCCCAAGCCAACAAAGUAGCAAGGAGAAGAGUGUGGGGCUGGGGACGGGGCUCAGUUGGGAAAGGGCUUGUCUAGCAUGCAGGGGACCCUCGGUUCCUUCUCCAGACCAAAUCAAGCAAACAGAAGCUUAGAAAACACUGAAGGGCAUACUUUAUAGUGGGAUUUUUUUUUUUUUUUUGAGACAAGGUUUCUCUGUGUAGCCCUGGUUGUCCUGAAACUCACUCUGUAAACCAGGCUGGCCUCAAACUCAGAGAUCUUCAUGCCUCUGCCUCUGCCUCUGCCUUCUGAAUACUGGGACUAAUGAAUGAUGUGCACCACCACCACUGCCUAGCCCCAAAAUGGAAAAUUUUAUAAUAUGGGAAACCAGUUUCUUUCUCACACCCUUUCUCCUUUCUAUCUUUACUUUUGUUGCCACUGUUCGACUCCACGGUCUUGCGUGUAUUAUGUGUUAGACAAGUUCUGAUGUAGACCCAGCCUCAAUCUCAAAACUGUAAAGCAUUCAGGAGGCAGAGGCAGGCUGAACUCUGUGAGUUCCAGGUCAGCCUGGAUUACACAGUGAAAAGAUUUCUUAGAAAGAAAGAAAGAGGGGUUGGGGAUUUAGCUCAGUGGUAGAGCGCUUGCCUAGCAAGCACAAGGCCCUGGGUUCAGUCCCCAGCUCUGAAAAAAAGAAAAAAGAGAAAGAGAAAGAAAGAGAGGAAGGGAGGAAGAAAGGAAGGAAGGGAGAAAGAAAGGAAGGAAAAAAGAAAAGAAAAAAGAAAAGGGAAGAGAAGAAAAAAGCUAUAUCAAAUGUUAAGGGUAAAAUGUAGUUAUAAAAGUUCAGUUAAGGGGGUUGGGGAUUUAGCUCAGUGGUAGAGCGCUUGCCUAGCAAGCACAAGGCCCUGGGUUCGGUCCCCAGCUCCGAAAAAAAAAAUUAGAAAAAAAAAAGUUCAGUUAAAUCUUUCCAUUUUAUUGACUGUUAAGAACUUUAGGAUCAGCCAAUCUCAGAAAAGGAGAGACUUGUGAGCCCAGUGUAGGCAGGGGCAAGGAUGAGGGGAUGGGGGAAGGGAGCAGAGGGGACAGGGAAUCAAACACCGCUAUUGGUUUGGCAGAACACUUCAGGGGAACUGUGGAAGUUUGCAUUCCUCGGAUGAAAGGUUUCUCUUGGCCUCUGCUGCUGUGCAUUGACCACAUUCCUCCCUGCUGUGAGGGAUCACACUGGAAGCCGGUGAGACUGCUACAAAAGCCAGCAGGGUCCCUGGAUUUCAAGAGAAGCAGCAAGGCAGACAAAGUUUGGCCUUUGAUGCUCCCUUAGUGGCCUACCUGCUCCCCGGGGCGGAGACACCCCGGGAAGAGCCUGCACUGAGAAACAGGGAUUUGUACAAAGAUGAAAAUUUAUCAGAUCAGGGGAUUCAAACUGAGUUGCUAAGAGGUCUGAAGGUUUCAGACGCCUUUACAGUGGGGUUGUUGAGGAAGCUGUGGAAGGGAAAGUCCUGACCUCUUGAAGCUGCCGAUGGGGGUGGGAAGAAGAACAGCCACUGGGUAAACAGGGUGUCUGAGCCCCUGGAUCUAGAGCCCAGAGGUUAAAAUGUCCAGACGGCUUUGGGCUGACAAGUCACAGCAGUGUAGAACAUUCCUUCACUGAUAAAAGGAGAAAACACUUAGUUAGGGAGGUCCAGAGGGUUGCUGUCCAGGGUGGGGAAUUCACGUGGACUGGAUUGAACAAAUCCAAACCCCAAACGUAAAUACCUAAAAAUCAGGACUUCGUGCAUUUGACCUUCAGACGGGUGAGUGUAGGCCCCACCACUCUGACCGGCAUGCUUAUAGAAAGAGGACUCCAAGACACUGGAUUAUUUUUCAAAUCUACAACUUGGAUCAGUCACUCGGGAUUCGACAGUCUGGGUAGUGGAUAUUGGAUCACACCAGACCUCUCAGGUCUCCCUCCUCAAAACAGGGAUCAGGACAAAGAGAUGGGAAGACAAAGGAGCGGCAAAUCUCUGUUGGCAUGCGGAUCCCAGGCAAGAAUGGUCACUGAGGAUCCUGUCUCCAGGAUGACAAGGAUAACUGGCAGGACGAAGUGCACGGGAUCGCCAUGAGGAGCAGCCAUGAGGCCAGAGCUGUGAGGUGCAGCAUGAUUGGCUGGCACUGGUGAAGCUGCCCGGUGUGCAGAGGGUCAGUGCUUGGUCUGGAGGCCUGGGCUGGCUGAAAACACAUUCAGCAUCGUCUGGUAUCUGCUUUGAAAUUCCAGUUUCAUUACCGUAAAUAGUCUCACAUCAUUCAGGUGGGCCUUGAACUGUGUGCUCGAAGAGGACCUUGGACGUCUGAUCUGUCUGCCUUCCACUUCCCGAGUGCAGGGAUUACCGGAGUGUGCCAUCAUACUCAGCCUAAACUCAGUUUGAACUAGCACCGAAGCCGGGCCUUCUCAAACUGCUACCCAGAACCCAAAUGCUGUAAGCUGGGCUUGGAAGAUGCCCAAAAGCUCUAAAGCUCCCUCGCUCCUCUCUCCCCCUCCCCUCCCCCUACCUCUCCCCUUCCUCCCAUCCCCUCCCCCAGCCCUCCCUCUCUUUCCUUCUGGGCGAGCCCUGCUGCCUCGUUCUUAUUUAUUCCCCAAGGCCGGAUGGCAGUUUCCUCCAUUUCCCUGGCUCGCUGUCCUGCCCAAUGUCUGUCCCAUUGCCUCUGCCUUUUGCAUUUCCUUGGCCAGCCCUGUGCCAUUUGUGUCCAAGCCCAGACUCUUUCCUUUAAUCCACUCAUGACAGAUCGGUUCAAGCUGCCCAGGCCCGCUCAGGUUACCUACGGCUCCCAUGCAGGGCAGGUUCAGAAUGUUGCCUGAGCUCCCUUAGCCCCUUCACAUGGCAUCCCAUAGCCUUAUCUUAUCUAAUACCCCCACAUAAUCCCUUUGCUCCGGUCAUCCUGGGCCCGUGCCAGCUUCCAAAUGUGGUCCACAUGUUCCUGUCCCUCUGUGCACGGUCUCGUUCCUUGGGUUGAAAAUGCCUUCGCCCAGUCUCCAGAGAAUGAAAUCCUACCCAUUCCAGCUACAAAUUCUCCAUGAAGCUGGCUCUGCUCUUGCCAACAACCAAUCAUUUCCCGGAUCUCUGGCCCUCCCUUCCCCCCUUCCCCCAACCCAACUUACUUCUCUGGGCUCACUUUGUUUGCCUAGUGACUUGGGCUCAGCUAACCUGUAGGAUCCUUCAGUCCAAGGGUAGCUUUGUGAUUGGUCCAGCUUGAGUCAAUGGCUUCAUUGCCAUCUAGAACACAUGGACUGAGAUUAUAAGAGCAGAGACCCCCUAAAAAGAUGCUGGGUGGAUGCUGGGUGCAAACAGAACCAGGUCUAGUAAGGGGAAUGGGAGGCUCUUUUUCCAUAAAUAAAAACAUUGGGUUUUUUUGCUAA
Rattus norvegicus (Norway rat) is the source of this 4734-nucleotide non-coding RNA. The record is from RefSeq and is a predicted model, not a curated record. NCBI's taxonomy places the organism in Eukaryota, Metazoa, Chordata, Mammalia, Rodentia, Muridae.